UCGGCAAUGGACGAAAGUCUGACCGAGCAACGCCGCGUGUGCGAUGAAGGCCUUCGGGUUGUAAAGCACUGUCGAGGGGAAACAAGCCGUAAGGUUGAGUGACCCCUGGAGGAAGCACGGGCUAAGUUCGUGCCAGCAGCCGCGGUAAGACGAACCGUGCAAACGUUAUUCGGAAUCACUGGGCUUAAAGGGCGCGUAGGCUGCGCGGUAAGUUGGGUGUGAAAGCCCUCGGCUCAACCGAGGAACUGCGCUCAAAACUACCGUGCUGGAGGGAGACAGAGGUGAGCGGAACUCAGGGUGGAGCGGUGAAAUGCGUUGAUAUCCUGAGGAACACCGGUGGCGAAGGCGGCUCACUGGGUCUCUUCUGACGCUGAGGCACGAAAGCCAAGGUAGCAAACGGGAUUAGAUACCCCGGUAGUCUUGGCUGUAAACGAUGAGCACUUGAUUGAAGGGUCCUCCAUAGCCUUUCAGUCGUAGCGAAAGUGUUAAGUGCUCCGCCUGGGGAGUAUGGUCGCAAGGCUGAAACUCAAAGGA
This 534-nucleotide ribosomal RNA is filed under the name uncultured bacterium. RNAcentral's name for it is "bacterial SSU rRNA". It matches the Rfam family "Bacterial small subunit ribosomal RNA", at positions 365 to 908 of the family's 1533-position model. The record is from RNAcentral.